CCCUUAGAUGUUCUGGGCCGCACGCGUGCUACACUGAUGCAUUCAACGAGUCUAAAACCUGGUCUGAUAGGGCUGGGUAAUCUUUUGAAAGUGCAUCGUGAUUGGGAUAGAUGAUUGCAAUUCUUCAUCUUCAACGAGGAAUGCCUAGUAAACGCAAGUCAUCAGCUUGCAUUGAUUACGUCCCUGCCCUUUGUACACACCGCCCGUCGCUCCUACCGAUUGAAUGAUCCGAUGAAUACCAUGGAUUGAGAGUACGAAUAGGUUCGCUUAUUUCUGCUGCUCGAGAAGUGGAGUAAAUCGUAUCAUUUAGAGGAAGGAGAAGUCGUAACA
RNAcentral lists this ribosomal RNA (330 nucleotides) under uncultured eukaryote. Its description in RNAcentral is "partial 18S ribosomal RNA". It matches the Rfam family "Eukaryotic small subunit ribosomal RNA", at positions 1470 to 1796 of the family's 1831-position model. The record is from RNAcentral.